ACUCGGAGGACAAGCAACCGCUCUGAACCCAUUGCCUGUUCUGAACUUCCGACUGAAUGUAACAUUGUUACUGUACGGCAAAAUGGUUAAUUUUUGUGCUGUAUAUGGUUGUUCGAACCGUUCAACCCGUGAUAAACGGAACUAUUACCGUUUGCCUUAAAUCCCGGCUGAACGUUAUCAUCAGGCAAGACGGGAGAUGUAUAGAAAACGUCGGGAAACAUGGUUGAGAAAAAUAAGGAGAGAAGAUCUCUUAAGAGAGGACUCCACUAAAAGCCUUGACCACUUACGAGUCUUUAGUGACCAUUCAGGUGGAGCAAACCAGAAGGAUAGCCAACUUAAGAAUUCAUGUGGAGAGAGUCAUCGGAAACAUCAGGAAGAAGUUCUCCAUAAUGAGUUCAACCAUUCCAAUUGAUUUCACCAGGGUCGGGGAUUAACAGUUGGCUUUGGUGCUCUUGAAUAAAAUUUAGC
Long non-coding RNA from Alosa alosa (allis shad), 468 nucleotides. RefSeq lists it as uncharacterized. The transcript has 3 exons. The record is from RefSeq and is a predicted model, not a curated record. NCBI's taxonomy places the organism in Eukaryota, Metazoa, Chordata, Actinopteri, Clupeiformes, Clupeidae.